Non-coding RNA from Apiosordaria backusii, 78 nucleotides. The record is from the annotation of a GenBank genome assembly. Lineage: Eukaryota; Fungi; Ascomycota; Sordariomycetes; Sordariales; Lasiosphaeriaceae.
GGCCCGAUGGUGUAGUUGGUUAUCGUGUCGGGCAGUCUAACACACUAAAGCUCUCCAGCUCGAGUCUGGAUCGGAUCA